This 118-nucleotide small nuclear RNA is filed under the name Ursus americanus (American black bear). Its description in RNAcentral is "U2 spliceosomal RNA". It matches the Rfam family "U2 spliceosomal RNA". Rfam says of the family: U2 is a small nuclear RNA (snRNA) component of the spliceosome (involved in pre-mRNA splicing). Complementary binding between U2 snRNA (in an area lying towards the 5' end but 3' to hairpin I) and the branchpoint sequence (BPS) of the intron results the bulging out of an unpaired adenosine, on the BPS, which initiates a nucleophilic attack at the intronic 5' splice site, thus starting the first of two transesterification reactions that mediate splicing. RNAcentral also lists the same sequence under 2 other names. The record is from Rfam by way of RNAcentral. Lineage: Eukaryota; Metazoa; Chordata; Mammalia; Carnivora; Ursidae.
AUCGCUUCUCGGCCUUUUGGCUAAGAUCAAGUGUAGUAUAUUGCAGAAUAAAAAUGUUGUUGAGCUUGUGGAUGACAUAAAUGUGGAAAUGAGAAAUAAAUUUUGGAGAGAACUCACU